CCUUGGGUGCCCAGGCGCGAAAACUUUACAAUGCCGGCAACGGCGAUAAGGGAACCUCGAGUGCCAGGUUACAAAUCUGGCUGUCGUGAUGCCUAAAAAGCAUUGCAUAGCAAGGGCCGGGCAAGACCGGUGCCAGCCGCCGCGGUAACACCGGCGGCUCGAGUGGUAACCGUUAUUAUUGGGUCUAAAGGGUCUGUAGCCGGCCGGGUAAGUCUCUUGGGAAAUCUGGCAGCUUAACUGUCAGGCUUUCAGGAGAUACUGCCUGGCUCGAGGCCGGGAGAGGUGAGAGGUACUUCAGGGGUAGGGGUGAAAUCUUGUAAUCCUUGAAGGACCACCAGUGGCGAAGGCGUCUCACCAGAACGGACCUGACGGCAAGGGACGAAAGCUAGGGGCACGAACCGGAUUAGAUACCCGGGUAGUCCUAGCCGUAAACGAUACUCGCUAGGUGUCGGCCACGGUGCGACCGUGGUCGGUGCCGUAGGGAAGCCGUGAAGCGAGCCACCUGGGAAGUACGGCCGCAAGGCUGAAACUUAAAGGAAUUGGCGGGGGAGCAC
Molecule: ribosomal RNA, 554 nt
Filed under: uncultured archaeon
Lineage: Archaea
Description: bacterial SSU rRNA
Rfam family: Archaeal small subunit ribosomal RNA
Source: RNAcentral